GAUGAACGCUGGCGGCGUGCCUAAUACAUGCAAGUCGAGCGGACGGACGAGAAUCUUGCUUCUCUGAUGUUAGCGGCGGGCGGGUGAGUAACACGUGGAUAACCUACCUAUAAGACUGGGAUAACUUCGAGAAACCGGAGCUAAUACCGGAUAAUAUUUUGAACCGCAUGGGUCAUAAGAGAAAGACGGUCUUGGUGUCACUUAUAGCUGGAUCCGCGCUGCAUUAGCUAGUUGGUAAGGUAACGGCUUACCAAGGCGACGAGGCAUAGCCGACCUGAGAGGGUGAUCGGCCACACUGGAACUGAGACACGGUCCAGACUCCUACGGGAGGCAGCAGUAGGGAAUCUUCCGCAAUGGGCGAAAGCCUGACGGAGCAACGCCGCGUGAGUGAUGAAGGUCUUCGGAUCGUAAAACUCUGUUAUUAGGGAAGAACAGAUGUGUAAGUAACUGUGCACAUCUUGACGGUACCUAAUCAGAAAGCCACGGCUAACUACGUG
This 497-nucleotide ribosomal RNA is filed under the name uncultured bacterium. RNAcentral's name for it is "partial 16S ribosomal RNA". It matches the Rfam family "Bacterial small subunit ribosomal RNA", at positions 28 to 507 of the family's 1533-position model. The record is from RNAcentral.